AGAGUUUGAUCAUGGCUCAGGAUGAACGCUAGCGACAGGCUUAACACAUGCAAGUCGAGGGGGCAGCACGGUGUAGCAAUACACCGGUGGCGACCGGCGCACGGGUGAGUAACACGUGUGCAACCAACCCCGUACCGGGAGAUAACCCGCGGAAACGUGGACUAACACCCCAUAACACCUUUCCCCCGCAUGAGGGCGAGGUUAAAACCCCGGUGGUACGGGACGGGCACGCGCGACAUUAGGUAGUUGGCGGGGUAACGGCCCACCAAGCCGACGAUGUCUAGGGGUUCUGAGAGGAAGGUCCCCACACUGGAACUGAGACCACGGUCCAGACUCCUACGGGAGGCA
Molecule: ribosomal RNA, 348 nt
Filed under: uncultured bacterium
Lineage: Bacteria
Description: bacterial SSU rRNA
Rfam family: Bacterial small subunit ribosomal RNA
Source: RNAcentral